GAUAACCUGGAUGUGGUGUUGAACACCGUUGAGUCGCCGAUUCCUUCUCCUGACAGAGAGGUUGAGUCGGCGACUCCGGUCGUUCCACCUCAUAGUCUGGAGUUGAGUGCCACCGUGCACGAGCUACUUGGCGCUGGGCCAGUGUCGGCGACUCCCCUUGUGGAGUCGGCGACACAGAGCCUGGCUAUUGUAGUCGCACGGCCGCCUCUUGAGCCUGGGGAGAUCUCCGUGGCCUCUGCGUCGGCGACUCCCAAUGUGGAGUCGGCAACUCAUGAAGGCCCUGUCAAAGGGAGAUGCUUCAGGCGCAAGACGCUGGCCUUAACUGCCACAGGGUCAGCGACCUCCAGCCGAGCUUCGCCGAUUCCCCUUACGGGAUCGGCGACUCGUAUGCUGGAAUCGCCGACUCUGAUGAAUGUUGAUGAUUCCUCUGCGCACCGCCCUGCACCAUUGGUCGUGGGCGCAGGAGGACGAAUCGUAUCGGGACUGAGCCCGAACCAGGGUCCUUCUCACAAAAGAAAGAGAAGGCGCACCACUGGUAAGGGCAAAGUGCAUGUGCCCG
Molecule: long non-coding RNA, 559 nt
Filed under: Zostera marina
Lineage: Eukaryota; Viridiplantae; Streptophyta; Magnoliopsida; Alismatales; Zosteraceae
Description: long non-coding RNA (ZMAR_LNC000222)
Source: RNAcentral